GACGAACGCUGGCGGCGUGCUUAACACAUGCAAGUCGAACGGAAAGGCCCUGCUUGCCGGGUACUCGAGUGGCGAACGGGUGAGUAACACGUGGGUGAUCUGCGCUUCACUUCGGGGUAAGCCUGGGAGACUGUGUCUAUUACCGGGUAUAAGCCAUCUUUCGUGUGAUGGUUGGAAAGUUUUUUCGGUCUGGGAUGACCUCACGGCCUAUCAGCUGGUUGGUGGGGUAGUGGCUUACCAAGCCGGCGACGGGUGGCCGGCCUGGGAGGGUGGCGGGCCACAUUGGACUGAGAAUACGCCCAGGCCCCCAAGGGGAGCAGGCGGGGGGAAGAAUGGCACAAGGGGCGAAGCCCGAUGGAGCGAAGCCGCGGGGGGGAUGACCGGCUUCGGGUUGGAAAACCCCUUCGGCAGGGACGAAGCCUUUUGUGACGGUACCUAGAUAAGAAGCACCGGCUAACUACGUG
RNAcentral lists this ribosomal RNA (464 nucleotides) under uncultured bacterium. RNAcentral's name for it is "partial 16S ribosomal RNA". It matches the Rfam family "Bacterial small subunit ribosomal RNA", at positions 28 to 507 of the family's 1533-position model. The record is from RNAcentral.